GUUCUUUGGGGGCCUGAAGCCCACGGAGAGGGCCUUGCCUUGGCUGCACCCACACGGCAGUUCUGCUGACCAAGUGCUUGGCAGCCAGGCUCCUCCUCGCCGGUGGGCACUGGGUGCCUUCUGAGUGUCACAGCCUGAGCCCGCCGGCCGUGCUGAGGUGUUGGUGACACCAUCCCUGUGAGCAGAGGGGCCUCCCUGCUGGCCUGGAGGAGCCCCGCUGGUGGGGAGGGAGACGGGCUCCUCCAAGGAGCAGGGCUGCUCGCUUCCCGGCAGUGCCCCCUUGGCCUGCCCCAGUGCCCCGUGGCACCUGCCCCUUCUCCUCCCAUGAGCGGAAGCUGCCGGGAUCUGGUCAGUCCUGGAGACCAGGCAGCUGAGGGGCAGGUCCUGCUCAGAACCAGCUGCAGGCAGGGCCAGCUGGCCAGCGGCUUCAGGGACGGGGGAGUGUGCUGUCUGAUCACCUCCUGAGUGAUCCCCAGGGACCAGAAUGACGGCCAACAGCAGUGGGAGCCAGAGAGCGGCUGGGCUGACCUCCAGGGCCAGGGUCUCUUUGGGAGCCUGUGGUCACUGAAGAAAGACCCCCCCAGCCAGAAUCUCAUCCCUUAUCAGGUGUUUCCUGGAUCUUCAGACCCUUCGGGGACCUACCCCUUGACCCUGGUUGAACUUGAGGAGCCAAAGUCUAGCUAGGGCCUGAGUGGGGAGUGGCCUCAGGGCCACCGAGGGAGAGGACAGGCAGGGCGGGCUUGUGGGUCGUGGGAAAGCCCGUGUCCCCUGGGAGCCGCCUUCCGUGCUGCUUUCAAAAUGCUCUUGUCCUGGUUCCGCUUUAAUGAACUCCAGGACGGGGACAUGUCGCUGUCAUUGUGUCAACCCCAAGCAGAGGGGCCUCGCUCCGCAGCCUCCUGGGGCUCGAGGGGCAGGAGGACAGACAGGGAAACACGCUUGUUGAGGCCACGGCGCGUCUGACAUGUGGCCAUAUCCAUGUCAAAGAAGUCUUGGCCCCCGUGUUGGACUUCCGGAAGUCCCUCCCGGGUGGCUUCAGGAAUUGCAGAUCUGACGGAGAGAUGGGAGAGGCAGGAUUUGCCACUGAGAAAAUAAUCUUGGGGUUUUGUUUUGAAUUGUAAAAACCUGAAUGAAAAAUCGCUGCUGACUGUCUGGUGGGAGAUGCAUGGUCUCAUAACGGCCUCUCAUUGAUUCCUUUCAGGGUUUUGUUAAGACUGAAAAGCUCUCAGCAGCAGGCAGCCCGGGCAGGAGUGCGUGAGCACGGGACGAGGGGCGCAGGGCCAGUCCCCAACCCAGGACAAGGCCCGCAGCUGCAGAGCGGCACAAGCC
This 1326-nucleotide long non-coding RNA is filed under the name Marmota monax (woodchuck). The record is from RNAcentral. Lineage: Eukaryota; Metazoa; Chordata; Mammalia; Rodentia; Sciuridae.